GAUGAACGCUAGCUACAGGCUUAACACAUGCAAGUCGAGGGGUAACGAGAGGAAAGCUUGCCUUCCUUGACGACGACCGGCGCACGGGUGAGUAACGCGUAUCCAACCUGCCCCCAACUAGGGAAUAACCUUGCGAAAGUACGACUAAUACCCUAUAAUUUCCUAAGAUGACAUCUGACGAGGAAUAAAGAUUUAUCGGUUGCGGAUGGGGAUGGGUCGGAUUAGCUUGUUGGGGGGGUAACGGACCACCAAGGCAACGAUCAGUAGGGGUUCUGAGAGGAAGGUCCCCCACAUUGGAACUGAGACACGGUCCAAACUCCUACGGGAGGUAGCAGUGAGGAAUAUUGGUCAAUGGGCGGAAGCCUGAACCAGCCAAGUAGCAUGCAGGAUGACGGCCCUAUGGGUUGUAAACUGCUUUUAUACAGGAAUAAAGUUAGCCACGUGUGGUUAUUUGUAGGUACUGUAUGAAUAAGGACCGGCUAAUUCCGUGCCAGCAGCCGCCGUAA
Molecule: ribosomal RNA, 506 nt
Filed under: uncultured bacterium
Lineage: Bacteria
Description: partial 16S ribosomal RNA
Rfam family: Bacterial small subunit ribosomal RNA
Source: RNAcentral